CGGUACCACUAUCAGUUUCCGACGGCGACGCGCGGAGGACAGUUCUCAGAACCUUGUGCACACACGCGGCCAUCCCCACACGCAGACACAAGCACAAAUACAUACACUAUACACGCAGGGACACAUAAACACAUACAAACACACAUACACACCCGAAAAGACCCACAUCAACCAACAUGCCUACAUCUACAGCCGUAUGCUCCGAAACAGACAGAAACACACCAACUCAUGUACGCACUCUGACACACGCCUCCUCGGCCAGCCAAUCUGAGAGGCCCCCUGAGGGUACGCCCACUUUAAGAACUCGCUCGCUGGCCACUUGACAGCGCGCAUCUCAACGAAGGUUUAAAGAAUAGAGAAUUCCCGAGACCACUUCUGCGAGCGAGGCAACCCCGCUACGACGCCCGGGGUGUGCGCCUCGAGAACUCCAAGGGCGAAGUCACUGCAGAUGAAGUCAGACCAAAAGAAGUCCUGCGCCCACAAGGAAGAUUUUCCCGACCGGGCCCACACUUUCACCCAAACCAAGCUGGGUAACAACGGGAUGGGGUUCGAUUGUCUGAUUGUUACUUGAAUUCAGGCCAGGGAGCCGUGGUAUAUCUGUAUCCCGUAGCUUUUACAAGAACGCUAAACUUCAAGUAAGAUUUUUUUUUUGAAAGGUUAAACCAAAAUAAUCUACAAAUAUUUUUGAUUACAUACGA
Molecule: long non-coding RNA, 698 nt
Organism: Penaeus monodon (black tiger shrimp)
Lineage: Eukaryota; Metazoa; Arthropoda; Malacostraca; Decapoda; Penaeidae
Exons: 3
Source: RefSeq, a predicted model, not a curated record